GAUGAACGCUGGCGGCGUGCCUAACACAUGCAAGUCGAGCGAACGGACGAGAAGCUUGCUUUUCUGAUGUUAGCGGCGGACGGGUGAGUAACGCGUGGAUAACCUACCUAUAAUACUGGGAUAACUUCGGAAAACCGGAGCUAAUACCGGAUAAUAUUUUGAACCGCAUGGUUCAAAAGUGAAAGACGGCCUUGCUGUCACUUAUAGCUGGUUCCGAGCUGCAUUAGCUAGUUGGUCAGGUAACGGCUUACCAAGGCAACGAUGCAUAGCCGACCUGAGAGGCUGAUCGCCCACCCUGGAACUGAGACACGGUCCAGACUCCUACGGGAGGCAGCAGUAGGGAAUCGUCGGCAAAGGGCGAAAGCCUGACGGAGCAACGCCGCGUGAGUGAUGAAGGCCUUCGGAUCGUAAAACUCUGUUAUUGGGGAAGAACAGCUGUGUAAGUAACUGUGGACAUCGUGACGGUACCUAAUCAAAAAGCAACGGCUAACUACGUG
RNAcentral lists this ribosomal RNA (497 nucleotides) under uncultured bacterium. RNAcentral's name for it is "partial 16S ribosomal RNA". It matches the Rfam family "Bacterial small subunit ribosomal RNA", at positions 28 to 507 of the family's 1533-position model. The record is from RNAcentral.